UCCCUGUUGGCUCAGUUGGUAGAGCAUCGUGUGUGCAACGCCAGGGUUGUGGGUUCGAUUCCCACGGGGUA
Molecule: transfer RNA, 71 nt
Filed under: Salmo salar (Atlantic salmon)
Lineage: Eukaryota; Metazoa; Chordata; Actinopteri; Salmoniformes; Salmonidae
Rfam family: tRNA
About the family: Transfer RNA (tRNA) molecules are approximately 80 nucleotides in length. Their secondary structure includes four short double-helical elements and three loops (D, anti-codon, and T loops).
Source: Rfam by way of RNAcentral